ACCACUUCGGUGGGGAUUAGUGGCGAACGGGUGAGUAACACGUGGGCAAUCUGCCCUGCACUCUGGGACAAGCCCUGGAAACGGGGUCUAAUACCGGAUACUGACCCUCGCAGGCAUCUGCGAGGUUCGAAAGCUCCGGCGGUGCAGGAUGAGCCCGCGGCCUAUCAGCUUGUUGGUGAGGUAAUGGCUCACCAAGGCGACGACGGGUAGCCGGCCUGAGAGGGCGACCGGCCACACUGGGACUGAGACACGGCCCAGACUCCUACGGGAGGCAGCAGUGGGGAAUAUUGCACAAUGGGCGAAAGCCUGAUGCAGCGACGCCGCGUGAGGGAUGACGGCCUUCGGGUUGUAAACCUCUUUCAGCAGGGAAGAAGCGAAAGUGACGGUACCUGCAGAAGAAGCGCCGGCUAACUACGUGCCAGCAGCCGCGGUAAUACGUAGGGCGCAAGCGUUGUCCGGAAUUAUUGGGCGUAAAGAGCUCGUAGGCGGCUUGUCACGUCGGUUGUGAAAGCCCGGGGCUUAACCCCGGGUCUGCAGUCGAUACGGGCAGGCUAGAGUUCGGUAGGGGAGAUCGGAAUUCCUGGUGUAGCGGUGA
RNAcentral lists this ribosomal RNA (595 nucleotides) under Streptomyces rubrogriseus. RNAcentral's name for it is "bacterial SSU rRNA". It matches the Rfam family "Bacterial small subunit ribosomal RNA", at positions 74 to 684 of the family's 1533-position model. Lineage: Bacteria; Bacillati; Actinomycetota; Actinomycetes; Kitasatosporales; Streptomycetaceae. The record is from RNAcentral.